GGGGCUGUCUUUGGUUUCGACAGAAAUGUUCCGCUAUAAAUAGCAAGUCGUAGGCAUACGUUAAAUGCACAAAAAAAUAAAUGCAAAAAAUGUAAAAAAUGUAUUAGCUUCAGUAUUCAAGAGAAAUGCUGUAGCCUUUGCCUAAUUUAAUUUAGAGUAAUACAACUUUCUUUAUUACUUUUCCUGUGAGUAAUUUAGAAGGUUCGAUUUAGCAGGAUAUAUUAUUACUGAUCUUCGAAGGAAUAAUGAAAUUUAGAAGAUUACUAAAAAAGAGUUGUUGGCUACUAACUUUUUUAGGACAUUGAUUAGUCAACUAAACUUGUAGAUGUUUAUGGUAGGGUGUUUUUGGACAGGAGUUCAAGUCUCCUCAGCUCCACCA
RNAcentral lists this transfer-messenger RNA (379 nucleotides) under human gut metagenome. It matches the Rfam family "transfer-messenger RNA". Rfam says of the family: Bacterial tmRNA, also known as 10Sa RNA or SsrA, is named for its dual tRNA and mRNA-like properties. The record is from RNAcentral.